RNAcentral lists this small RNA (729 nucleotides) under Arabidopsis thaliana (thale cress). Its description in RNAcentral is "ATSL189920". Lineage: Eukaryota; Viridiplantae; Streptophyta; Magnoliopsida; Brassicales; Brassicaceae. The record is from RNAcentral.
CUUUAUUAAAACAACAUAUUAAUAACAUUUUAAAAUUUUAUAAAUAUUGAUUCAAAUACAUCCACAAUAUAAUCCAAUUCCAAAAUUAAACCCGUUCUGUAAUUUCUUUACCCGUCCCGUGAUUUUUUUUAAAGUAGUAAUUUUAAAAAUUUAAGAAUUAUGUAUUAUAUAUAAAAGUUUUGUAAAUUGUAUCAUUCUCUAAUACAUUUAUAUUUUAUAGUUUAAUUUUAUAUAUAGUAACAUUAUACAUACCACAUAACAUUUUUGGUUUUAUAUAAUCUUUUCUAAAUUAGGAUGAUUUUGAUAUGUUUCAUAUUAGUGGUCUUAAAAAAUAAUAAAUUAAAGAUUGAACCCGUAUUGAAACGGUGAAUUAAUUAUAUUUUACUUUUUUAUUAAUGAUGAAUCAAAAAUCCGUCCCUCCAAAUCCGUCUUGCCAAAAAGCCAUUUAUUUUAUUAAUAUUAAUUUUAUUUAUGAUAUGACUAUGAUUUAUAAUCUAAACAUUUUAGCUAAUAACAUAAGAGUGCACCAUAUUUACUUAAUAAAGAAAUGUACCAUAUGACCUGAAUGCACUUUUACCUAAAUCCACUAAAAAACUCUUGCAAAAAUACUAUAGAGAUAAGAAACGAUAGUCGGUUUUGAUAGGUAUAAGAUUAGCAAAUAUAUUAAUUAGCUUAAAUUAGUUAAAGAAUACAAAUUGAAAAGGUAUAUUACACUUUAUUCGAUUAUAG